This 1121-nucleotide long non-coding RNA is filed under the name Coturnix japonica (Japanese quail). RNAcentral's name for it is "lncRNA (ENSCJPG00005002836.1)". The record is from RNAcentral. Lineage: Eukaryota; Metazoa; Chordata; Aves; Galliformes; Phasianidae.
AUGGACCCUCUCACCAUCUCCAGGGCCCUCCUCACUCUCCAUCCCCUCUCUCCUCCAUUCCCCACCAUCAACCAGAGCCCAAAACCCCUCAACCAACUUCUCCCCCUUCUCUCCAAUCGAUGCCCACAGCACCAGGACUCACCACCAGCCCCCAAAGCUCCAGCCCAGCCCCUGCCUUCAGCUGGGAGCUCUCAGCCAUGGUGCAGCUCAAGGCUUCCAGCAGCUCUGCCAGCACCAUCCCAGCACACGGAGGGAUGCCAUGGAGGAGAAGCUGAGCUCUGGGUGCUGCUGUUGGGCUCGGGGAGCAGCUCAGCCCUCAGCCCAGAUCUCAGUUCACAUCUCAGCCCCGAUCUCAGCUCUCAGCCCAGCUCUCACUUCUCAGUUCAGCUCUCAGCCCAUCUCUCAGCCCAGCUCAGCCCUCAGCCCAGCUCUCAGCCCUCAGUUCACAUCUCAGCCCAGAUCUCAGCCCUCAGUUCACAUCUCAGCCCAGAUCUCAGCCCAGCUUCCAGCCCCGAUCUCAGCUCUCAGCCCAUCUCUCAGCCCUCGGCCCAGCUCUCACUUCUCAGUUCAGCUCUCAGCCCAUCACUCAGCUCAGAUCUCAGCUCUCAGCCCAGAGCCCAGCUCUCAGCCCAUCUCUCAGCCCAGCUUUCAGCUCAAAUCUCAGCCCAUCUCUCAGCCCAGCUGAGUGUAUUAAAGUCACGGUGUGUUUCAACUCAUCCCUUCGGUGGCAGCUUUGGGACGUGGAGAAAUAAAGACAAAGGCUGAUGAUGGUUCUCAGUUGGAGCUGCCGAUGGGGCCGGGAUGGAGCAGCUCGGAGCCCACCCCGAGGUGGGGAGGGGCAGAAUUAAAUGGGGGGGGGGGGGUUUAAAUCACCACGACGGAGCCACUGGGAACGGACGGGAGAGAAACGGAGCCUGGGGCGGCACCGGAGCUGCGGGGUGAUAAACGGAACGGAACGGAAUGGAAUGGAAUGGAACGGAAUGGAACAGAAUGGAACAGAAUGGAAUGGAACGGAACGGAACGGAACGGAACGGAACGGAACGGAACGGAAUGGAACGGAAUGGAACGGAACGGAAUGGAAUGGAACGGAAUGGAACGGAACGGAACAGAAUGGAACGGAA